GAGAUAAAGGUCACUUAGAGUAGCCAAGGAGACUGCCUGUGAAGCCACAAUGGUCGUCUGAAGCCAGACAAGACCUAAAGGAGGACACCGGCAAGUCAUCCUUGGCUACCAAAGAUGGACUCUUAUUU
This is a non-coding RNA of Musa acuminata subsp. malaccensis (wild Malaysian banana), 128 nucleotides long. Lineage: Eukaryota; Viridiplantae; Streptophyta; Magnoliopsida; Zingiberales; Musaceae. The record is from Rfam.